CCUUUGGAGAUAUGAUGUGUGAGACCUGUAGGGAAUGCGUUGGAGCUCAAACUCUGUAAAAUCCC
This 65-nucleotide non-coding RNA is filed under the name Helicobacter suis HS5. RNAcentral describes it as "Heliobacter pylori small RNA HPnc0580". It matches the Rfam family "Heliobacter pylori small RNA HPnc0580", at positions 40 to 105 of the family's 105-position model. The record is from Rfam by way of RNAcentral. Lineage: Bacteria; Pseudomonadati; Campylobacterota; Epsilonproteobacteria; Campylobacterales; Helicobacteraceae.